GCGUGAGGAUAAGCGAGAUCAUUGGACAAACAGAGUCAAGGUGUUCUAUUCCCUCAUCAAACAAACAAUGUAAGUCAACAUGUGAAGAAGUAUUUAAGUGUGACCGUCAGCGGUACGGCAGAUAACUGCAACACAAACCUGUUGCUUCAGCUUCAACCUGUGGAACGAAAAGGUUAACCUACCAUGUCCAGGCUGCUGAAGGUGACGUUGACGGUGGCCGUGUGUGCGCUCAUCUUAGCCACACUGACGACCAGUGCAGAGGCCCGCCACGUACCUCCCUUUGUCCCUCCACCGUGGGGCAUCAUUGAGACCCAAUCCGGGACACUCACCGAAGCAAUACGUGGAGGGCCGAGACUUGCGGAGAAAGCAGACAAAUGGGGAUGAGUGAUGAAAUACAGCACAACAAAGACAGAACAUGUUGUAAAGAUAAAAACUAAAUUUCCUGCCAUGUAAUUGCAACAAUUCUGUUCUCCUGUACAUCCAAAAUAAAAUGAAUAUGAAGCAUCA
This is a long non-coding RNA of Phyllopteryx taeniolatus (common seadragon), 507 nucleotides long. RefSeq lists it as uncharacterized. NCBI's taxonomy places the organism in Eukaryota, Metazoa, Chordata, Actinopteri, Syngnathiformes, Syngnathidae. The record is from RefSeq and is a predicted model, not a curated record. The transcript is spliced from 3 exons.